UGCUGCCUCUUUCUUUCGUGAUAUU
RNAcentral lists this microRNA (25 nucleotides) under Caenorhabditis briggsae. RNAcentral describes it as "Cbr-Mir-2222-P2b_5p* (star (passenger))". Lineage: Eukaryota; Metazoa; Nematoda; Chromadorea; Rhabditida; Rhabditidae. The record is from RNAcentral.